RNAcentral lists this small nuclear RNA (107 nucleotides) under Dasypus novemcinctus (nine-banded armadillo). The record is from RNAcentral. Lineage: Eukaryota; Metazoa; Chordata; Mammalia; Cingulata; Dasypodidae.
GUGCUCACUUUGGCAGCACAUAUACUAAAAUUGGACCGAUACAGAGAAGAUUAGCAUGGCCCCUGCGUUAGGAUGACAUGCAGAUUCAUGAAACGUUCCAUAUUUUU